Molecule: long non-coding RNA, 1556 nt
Filed under: Fukomys damarensis (Damara mole-rat)
Lineage: Eukaryota; Metazoa; Chordata; Mammalia; Rodentia; Bathyergidae
Description: lncRNA (ENSFDAG00000024422.1)
Source: RNAcentral
GGCUCCUCAGAUGAUUGUGCACCAAGAGAGCAUCCCAUGAGCCUGGGUUCCCAUGGCAUCCAAAGACAAAGAUGUAGUGCCCUCACUGGGCUCCCCCUGGGACGCCAUCCUCCAGGCUGCCAAAGACCAGCUCCCAUCCCUGGACUCCGACUCUGACUCUUCCUUGCCGGACUUUGGCGAAGGGGAACCAUUCAUCUUCCAGCGCAACCAACCUGUCCUGAUUCCAGACCUGGCUGAGGAGCUGACCGAAGGCCCUGCUGCAGCCCGCCGUGGUGCCUGUGGGACUUGCUGCAGAACCUGGGAGUGAACAGAACUCAAGGAUAAAGGAAUGGACCUCUCUGGAAGGAAGGAGCCCUGGCCCGCUGCUCAAGAGCUUUGCUAAGAUCCAUUCUCUUCCUGAGAUAGCUGAGGAGACCCCUGCAUGGAGGGAAGGUGACCUUGGGAGCCUGUCCUUCAACACCAAAGGGUUCCAGAAUCCUCCCUGGGGUCUGCAGGGAGAAGCUACUCUUGCCCCUGCAGGACAGCCGGAUACAGAGCCCCUGGGCUCUGCCUGGCAAGAUUGUGCCAAGCGCAGAGCCCUCCGCCAGGAGAGGAGGAGGAUGAUAGAGAAUGACGUGCUCCAGAAAGUAACCUGGGAUGCCCGGAACCCCGCCUGCGGGGACCAAGCCCAGGCCGCGGAGUCCGGUCCCAGGCUAGCAGCACACUUGAAGGGGCCUGGGGAAGGCCAGCCAGUACUCUCGCUCCAGCAACUUGAAGAGUGGGAUUUGGAUUACAUCCUUCAGAGUCUGCCAGAGCGAGAAGACAACCAGGGAAAUUGUGCACCCAGAACCGCGUGGUGGGCAGCUGAACGCUGCCAAGGCCAAGACCGUACUGUGCCACGAUCCCAGGACAGGCUUCUGGAGCAGCUGGUCCUCCUGUGUGCCAUGCAGCAGAGAGCCCCAGACUCUGCCCAGAAGGUACCUGCUCACAGGCCCAAAGACACCAAGGAACAGGAGGCCAGAAGCAGAUGCACUUCUGUAAAGCUGGGCUCUCAGGCUGUGCAGGGCCAGAAGCUAGCUGGGGGCAUGAGGCCGAAGACAGAGCCUCCUACUAUCUUCAUUGACCUGCGGCAGACAGAACCCCCGGAGCCCCACGAUGAGUCCCCAGGAAGCUCCAGCCACAGCUCCUCUGACAGUGGAGAGGAGGACGAGGACGAGUGUGAGGAAGAGGACAGAGCAGCUCUAGGAGACCCGCAGGGCCCAGCACCGCGGGCAUCUCUUUCCUCCUGGGGCCUGAGGGACUGCACUGGGAAAAGCCAGCUUCUCCAGCAGUUGAGGGCAUUUCGGAAGGGAACAGCUCUGCCCCGGCCACCUGCCAGUGAGGGCAGCUGUGGCCAGAGAGCUCCAGUCACUAAAGAAGUGGCCAGAUCCAGAAGUGACAGCAGAAAAGACAUGAAACUCUGCGCAGAGGGGCCAAGUGCCCAGCCUGGACUCCCAGGAGGAUAUCCCAGGGCUUUGGAGCCAGGGCCCUCCAGGGAGGCCCUGGUGCCUCCUCUGGGCCAGCUGUAGGGUCCUCAG